Molecule: long non-coding RNA, 359 nt
Organism: Lolium rigidum
Lineage: Eukaryota; Viridiplantae; Streptophyta; Magnoliopsida; Poales; Poaceae
Exons: 4
Source: RefSeq, a predicted model, not a curated record
GAAAAUGUGAAGACAAAGCAUCCAGAGCUGCUGUACGAGUCCAAACUAUACAGAAUACUUCAAGGAGGAACUGGAAUUCCAAACGUCAAGUGGUUUGGUGUAGAGGGUGAUUACAACGUUUUGGUGAUGGACUUACUGGGGCCAAGCCUUGAGGAUCUCUUCAGCUUCUGUAACAGGAAACUGUCACUCAAAACUGUUUUGAUGCUUGCUGAUCAAAUGAUCAAUCGUGUCUAAUUCGUUCAUUCCAAGUCUUUCUUGCAUAGAGAUAUCAAGCCGGACAAUUUUCUCAUGGGUCUCGGGAAAAGGGCAAAUCAGGUUUAUUGUAUAGAUUUUGGUCUUGCGAAGAAGUAUAGGGAUAC